RNAcentral lists this non-coding RNA (107 nucleotides) under bovine gut metagenome. RNAcentral describes it as "FMN riboswitch (RFN element)". It matches the Rfam family "FMN riboswitch aptamer (RFN element)". From Rfam's summary of the family: The RFN element is a highly conserved domain that is found frequently in the 5'-untranslated regions of prokaryotic mRNAs that encode for flavin mononucleotide (FMN) biosynthesis and transport proteins. The record is from RNAcentral.
AUCUUCAGGGCAGGGUGCAAGUCCCUACCGGCGGUACAGCCCGCGAGCCGCAAGGCAUGAUUCGGUGAAACUCCGAGGCCGACAGUAUAGUCUGGAUGGAAGAAGAU